This 509-nucleotide ribosomal RNA is filed under the name uncultured bacterium. RNAcentral's name for it is "partial 16S ribosomal RNA". It matches the Rfam family "Bacterial small subunit ribosomal RNA", at positions 28 to 506 of the family's 1533-position model. The record is from RNAcentral.
GACGAACGCUGGCGGCGUGCUUAACACAUGCAAGUCGAACGAAGAGCGAUGGAAGCUUGCUUCUAUCAAUCUUAGUGGCGAACGGGUGAGGAACGCGUAAUCAACCUGCCCUUCAGAGGGGGACAAUAGUGGGAAACGAUUGCUCAUACCGCAUACGAUCGAACCACGGCAUCGAGGAGAGAGGAAAGGUGGCCUCUACACGUAAGCUAUCACCGAAGGAGGGGAUUGCGUCUGGUUAGCUAGUUGGAGGGGUAACGGCCCACCAAGGCGAUGAUCAGUAGCCGGUCUGAGAGGUUGACCGGCCACAUUGGAACUGGGACACGGCCCAGACUCCUACGGGAGGCAGCAGUGGGGAAUCUUCCGCAAUGGACGAAAGUCUGACGGAGCAACGCCGCGUGAGUGAUGACGGCCUUCGGGUUGUAAAGCUCUGUUAAUCGGGACGAAAGGCCUUCUUGCGAAUAGUUCGCAGGAUGGCCGGUACCGGAAUAGAAGGCCCCGGCUACCUCCGU